This 372-nucleotide ribosomal RNA is filed under the name uncultured prokaryote. Its description in RNAcentral is "bacterial SSU rRNA". It matches the Rfam family "Bacterial small subunit ribosomal RNA", at positions 524 to 896 of the family's 1533-position model. The record is from RNAcentral.
UACGUAGGGUGCAAGCGUUAAUCGGAAUAACUGGGCGUAAAGGGUGAGUAGGCUGAUAUACAAGUUAGAUGAGAAAUACCAGAGCUUAACUUUGGGAGAUCGUGUAAUACUGUAUGUCUAGAGUUAGUGAGAGGAUGGGGGAAUUCCGAGUGUAGCAGUGAAAUGCGUAGAGAUUCGGAGGAACAUCAGUGGCGAAGGCGCCCAUCUGGCAUAUAACUGACGCUGAAUCACGAAAGCGUGGGUAGCAAACAGGAUUAGAUACCCUGGUAGUCCACGCAGUAAACGAUGUCUACUAGCUGUUGGUCACGAGAGUGAUAAGUAGCGUAGCUAACGCGAGAAGUAGACCGCCUGGGGAGUACGGUCGCAAGAUUA